ACUCCUACGGGAGGCAGCAGUGGGGAAUAUUGGGCAAUGGAGGAAACUCUGACCCAGCGACGCCGCGUGAGGGAUGAAGGCCUUCGGGUUGUAAACCUCUUUCAGUAGGGAAGAAGCGAAAGUGACGGUACCUACAGAAGAAGCACCGGCUAACUAUGUGCCAGCAGCCGCGGUAAU
RNAcentral lists this ribosomal RNA (177 nucleotides) under uncultured bacterium. Its description in RNAcentral is "partial 16S ribosomal RNA". It matches the Rfam family "Bacterial small subunit ribosomal RNA", at positions 335 to 524 of the family's 1533-position model. The record is from RNAcentral.